This 253-nucleotide ribosomal RNA is filed under the name uncultured bacterium. RNAcentral describes it as "partial 16S ribosomal RNA". It matches the Rfam family "Bacterial small subunit ribosomal RNA", at positions 524 to 776 of the family's 1533-position model. The record is from RNAcentral.
GACGUAGGGCGCGAGCGUUGUCCGGAUUUAUUGGGCGUAAAGCGCUCGCAGGUGGUUUGUCGCGUCGUGCGUGAAAGACCCCGGCUCAACUGGGGAGGGUCGUGCGAUACGGGCGAACUGGAGGCCAGUAGGGGGAUGCGGAAUUCCGGGUGUAGUGGUGGAAUGCGUAGAGAUCCGGAGGAACACCAGCGGCGAAGGCGGCAUCCUGGACUGGUCCUGACACUCAGGAGCGAAAGCGUGGGGAGCGAUCCGG